CCUUUUUUUGCCCCCACUCAGACGCUCUCUCUUUCGUGUAUUCAUUAUUCUCUAUUCACUUCUUCAUUAUUCUUCCAGAUUUUUCCAAUUCCUCCUCUGAAAUCCCCAAAAACACAUACUCAGACCUCCUUUAAUGAAAAUCCAAAUCCAAGCCUAGCGCCAUUUAGCAUUGCCCCAGACCUCCUCUAUCAUCAUCCUCAUUUCUCACCCCUGGCAUGGCGAUUUCCUCAAAGCUGAGGUUUGCACUGGCGAUUUCUGAUUCCAUUCUCUCAGAGGAGAUUCGGAUCCGUGAAACAUCCGAGAGAUAUGGUGAAGAUAACCACUGCAUGUCAUAGAUCCGAGAAGCAUGAAGGUUCCAGAUCAGAAAAACAAGGUGAAAAAAAACAAGGAAAUGACCGACCAAGAUCCCAACGCGCUGGCUCCGACGGCGACGGGGAUGAUUGUCGAUGAUACAUGCGAGUUCUCAGCUCCGCGCUUCUUCGACUUCAUAAAGGACGAGAGCGAAGACGACAACGCAAGGCCGAGCUCUGGUACGAUUAGGGCUUUCUCAAGUCGGUAGAACUCCCAUUUUUCUGCUCCACUCGGUUCCCCCUCCAGAUCCGAGUCGUGUCUGGGUCGUCGGAUUUGCUCGAAUCCGGAAAUGUCAUACCCAUGAAGGCAAUUUCUCAUUUUCUUCGUCCAUUUAUAA
Molecule: long non-coding RNA, 688 nt
Organism: Malus domestica (apple)
Lineage: Eukaryota; Viridiplantae; Streptophyta; Magnoliopsida; Rosales; Rosaceae
Source: RefSeq, a predicted model, not a curated record